This 501-nucleotide ribosomal RNA is filed under the name uncultured bacterium. RNAcentral describes it as "bacterial SSU rRNA". It matches the Rfam family "Bacterial small subunit ribosomal RNA", at positions 18 to 507 of the family's 1533-position model. The record is from RNAcentral.
CCUGGCUCAGGAUGAACGCUAGCUACAGGCUUAACACAUGCAAGUCGAGGGAAACGAUAUUGGAAGCUUGCUUCUGAUAGGCGUCGACCGGCGCACGGGUGAGUAACGCGUAUCCAACCUGCCCAUCACUUGGGGAUAACCUUGUGAAAGUAAGACUAAUACCCAAUGACGUCUCUAGAAGACAUCUGAAAGAGAUUAAAGAUUUAUCGGUGAUGGAUGGGGAUGCGUCUGAUUAGCUUGUUGGCGGGGUAACGGCCCACCAAGGCGACGAUCAGUAGGGGUUCUGAGAGGAAGGUCCCCCACAUUGGAACUGAGACACGGUCCAAACUCCUACGGGAGGCAGCAGUGAGGAAUAUUGGUCAAUGGACGAGAGUCUGAACCAGCCAAGUAGCGUGCAGGAAGACGGCCCUAUGGGUUGUAAACUGCUUUUAUAAGGGAAUAAAGUGAGUCUCGUGAGACUUUUUGCAUGUACCUUAUGAAUAAGGACCGGCUAAUUCCGUG